RNAcentral lists this transfer RNA (69 nucleotides) under Histioteuthis reversa. RNAcentral describes it as "tRNA-Lys". The record is from RNAcentral. Lineage: Eukaryota; Metazoa; Mollusca; Cephalopoda; Oegopsida; Histioteuthidae.
UAUUAAGUGGCCGACUUACAAGCACUAGACUUUUAAUCUAGAUUAUGAUUAUAUUUUAAUCCUUAAUAA